RNAcentral lists this transfer RNA (53 nucleotides) under Nitrosopumilales archaeon CG15_BIG_FIL_POST_REV_8_21_14_020_33_23. RNAcentral's name for it is "tRNA-Leu". It matches the Rfam family "tRNA", at positions 20 to 71 of the family's 71-position model. From Rfam's summary of the family: Transfer RNA (tRNA) molecules are approximately 80 nucleotides in length. Their secondary structure includes four short double-helical elements and three loops (D, anti-codon, and T loops). Further hydrogen bonds mediate the characteristic L-shaped molecular structure. tRNAs have two regions of fundamental functional importance: the anti-codon, which is responsible for specific mRNA codon recognition, and the 3' end, to which the tRNAs corresponding amino acid is attached (by aminoacyl-tRNA synthetases). tRNAs cope with the degeneracy of the genetic code in two manners: having more than one tRNA (with a specific anti-codon) for a particular amino acid; and 'wobble' base-pairing, i.e. permitting non-standard base-pairing at the 3rd anti-codon position. Lineage: Archaea; Thermoproteati; Nitrososphaerota; Nitrososphaeria; Nitrosopumilales. The record is from RNAcentral.
AUGACGUCGCCCUUACACGGCGAAAAUCCAGGGUUCAAAUCCCUGUGGGCCCA